AGAUGUGAGUGAUCUGCCUGCGAUAUCUGUUAUGCUGUUGGUUGCUGGUGUCGAUUCAGCUGAUCUGACUGGGUAGAGGGAUGUUCUUUUCCUCCCUCACUAUUCUGCAUGCAUACCUCCUGAAGCUGCAUGCUUGGUUGAAGAGGACAGCCUUCUCAGAUAGUGGAGGGCCUUUCUGUAGUCAGCGGUAUAUGCAUCCCAGCACUCCCCUGCUAGAGCAUCUAAAGCAGCUUUCAAAAUCAAAAGCAUUUUACUUCUUCAAAUAUAGUAACAUAAGAAGAUAAAUUCAGGAAGAAAAAAAUGAAAUACAUGUUGUUUU
Molecule: small nuclear RNA, 319 nt
Filed under: Neotoma lepida (desert woodrat)
Lineage: Eukaryota; Metazoa; Chordata; Mammalia; Rodentia; Cricetidae
Description: 7SK RNA
Rfam family: 7SK RNA
About the family: 7SK was discovered as an abundant small nuclear RNA in the mid-70s but a possible function has only recently been suggested. Two independent studies have found that 7SK RNA binds the CDK9/cyclin T complex (known as elongation factor P-TEFb).
Source: Rfam by way of RNAcentral